GGGCUUGUAGCUCAAUUGGCAGAGCAGCGGACUCUUAAUCCGCGGGUUGUAGGUUCGAUUCCUACCAGGCUCA
RNAcentral lists this transfer RNA (73 nucleotides) under Plesiocystis pacifica. RNAcentral's name for it is "tRNA-Lys". It matches the Rfam family "tRNA". Rfam says of the family: Transfer RNA (tRNA) molecules are approximately 80 nucleotides in length. Their secondary structure includes four short double-helical elements and three loops (D, anti-codon, and T loops). Lineage: Bacteria; Pseudomonadati; Myxococcota; Nannocystales; Nannocystaceae. RNAcentral also lists the same sequence under 1 other name. The record is from RNAcentral.